UGGGGAAUAUUGGACAAUGGGCGCAAGCCUGAUCCAGCAAUGCCGCGUGUGUGAAGAAGGUCUUCGGAUUGUAAAGCACUUUCGGCGGGGACGAUGAUGACGGUACCCGCAGAAGAAGCCCCGGCUAACUUCGUGCCAGCAGCCGCGGUAAUACGAAGGGGGCUAGCGUUGCUCGGAAUGACUGGGCGUAAAGGGCGCGUAGGCGGUUUGAACAGUUGGGCGUGAAAUUCCAGGGCUUAACCUUGGGACUGCGUUCAAUACGUUUAGACUUGAGUUCGGAAGAGGGUCGUGGAAUUCCCAGUGUAGAGGUGAAAUUCGUAGAUAUUGGGAAGAACACCGGUGGCGAAGGCGGCGACCUGGUCCGAAACUGACGCUGAGGCGCGAAAGCGUGGGGAGCAAACAGGAUUAGAUACCCUGGUAGUCCACGCUGUAAACGAUGUGCGCUGGAUGUUGGGCGACCUAGUCGCUCAGUGUCGUAGCUAACGCGAUAAGCGCACCGCCUGGGGAGUACGGCCGCAAGGU
RNAcentral lists this ribosomal RNA (522 nucleotides) under uncultured bacterium. RNAcentral describes it as "bacterial SSU rRNA". It matches the Rfam family "Bacterial small subunit ribosomal RNA", at positions 355 to 894 of the family's 1533-position model. The record is from RNAcentral.